AUCCCGCCUCACGAUGAUGGUGCCCUUCCAGGGUGAAACGGGAACGCGGUGCGAUGCCGCGGCUGCCCCCGCAACUGUAAGCGACGAGUCUGCGCCAACCAGCCACCGCACGAUGCCGGGAAGGCGGCGCCAGGCGAUGACGCGCGAGCCAGGAGACCGGCCAUCUCCUUCUGUCGACGU
RNAcentral lists this non-coding RNA (180 nucleotides) under Ralstonia solanacearum. The record is from RNAcentral. Lineage: Bacteria; Pseudomonadati; Pseudomonadota; Betaproteobacteria; Burkholderiales; Burkholderiaceae.